UACGAAGGGUGCAAACGUUGCUCGGAAUUAUUGGGGCGUAAAGCGCACGUAGGCGGCUUUGUAAGUCGGAUGUGAAAUCCCUCGGCUUAACCAAGGAAGUGCAUCCGAAACUACAGAGCUUGAGUACUUAAGAGGAUCGCGGAAUUCCCGGUGUAGAGGUGAAAUUCGUAGAUAUCGGGGAGGAACACCAGUGGCGAAGGCGGCGAUCUGGGAAGAUACUGACGCUGAGGUGCGAAAGCGUGGGGAGCAAACAGG
This 255-nucleotide ribosomal RNA is filed under the name uncultured bacterium. Its description in RNAcentral is "partial 16S ribosomal RNA". It matches the Rfam family "Bacterial small subunit ribosomal RNA", at positions 524 to 776 of the family's 1533-position model. The record is from RNAcentral.